This is a long non-coding RNA of Corythoichthys intestinalis (scribbled pipefish), 7684 nucleotides long. RefSeq lists it as uncharacterized. The record is from RefSeq and is a predicted model, not a curated record. The transcript is spliced from 3 exons. Lineage: Eukaryota; Metazoa; Chordata; Actinopteri; Syngnathiformes; Syngnathidae.
GAGAGAGGGAGAAGAACGUUCUAGAAGGCUGAGUGGAAAGACGUCCGGUAACGGCAGAGUGUCAGAGCUGAGACAAUUGUGGACUUUUUUGAUUGACUUUUGGCGAAAGUGCUCAAAAAGAGGACUUUGAGGACGUCAACCAUCAUUGUUGGAUGCUUUGAGUGGUCUACUCAAGCGGGACGAGUGGAGCUGGUCGCUAAAAAAGAGGCUAACAGUCGCUCGUCGCUAACACAGAGGCUAACGGCCGCGCGUCGCUAACCGAGAAGCUAGCGACGCCCGUCACUAACAAAGAGACUCGUGGUGAACCCCAACACUUGGCUAAACGUCUAGCGACCUGCUAAACAAGUGAGCGAAGCGUUUGUGGACGAACCAACUGGGAGAAGGGACACUCGACGCCGAAGCCGACGAGGAGGACGACGCCGACCCGCCGACGGAGAGGGAUUCUACGGGCAUCGUGAGAGAGUGGAGCAUCGCCUGUUCAACGAACAUUUGCCUUUCUGAGUGUUUGGAGGAAACAACAUUCAUUAAGGUACCCUCAGUUUUUUUUUGGCCUUCGGGUGAAGGAGCCAUUUUGUUUAAGGCUACUACGCACGCAAGCAGCGAAUCUGGCCAGCCACUGCGGAAAAAAAGGGAAAUGACCAUCGGCUAGCCAUGAUAUUUACAUCAUCAGCCUUCGCGCUGUGACCCAGGAAUUCAACUGCUACUUUCACAUAUGCCACGUCACUGGAAUCUGACCUUUUAUCCAGAUUGCCAGAAUCCUGCCAGCCGAACCGCCGGACCUGCGCUGACGCAGCUCCAACGACCCGGCCUGCGAAACCAACAACCCGGCCAAAAGGCCAAACACCGCGUGCUCACCUUAGACUUAACCCCUUGUACUGCCUCCAUUUUGAAAGCUGUAAAAAGGCUUCGAAACACAAGUUGACAAUUUAUUCAGGUUGGCAGCGAUCAAACGGCAAGGCGAAACAGCAACAGACCCAGGCGAGGAGGUGGACUCGUUCCAGGGUCACCAUAUCACAAGUCAACAAAAGGUUCCCGAGAAAAAAUGACCACGAUUAGUUAAACAUUCAGUGUUUUUGAAGGCUCUCAUGGGGCGUGCCGUGGGCAGCAAGAGGGGUGUGUUUGGGUUUUCUUCUGUUGCAAAUUUGGCCGGUCAAGUUUGUGUGUCACCGUUGCUGGGUCAUGGUUAAUGAGACAACUGAGGUGAGAGGUUCGGCGCGCCUCUCAACGUCUGAGAGGCGCCGAGCUAUCAAGCUUAGAGUUGUUUUUCUUAUCGGGUGUUGUGGUAGUAAAGGACGUCCCGCCAUUUGUUUUGGACUAUCCUGAAGAGCUGAUUGCGGGAUUUGGUGUUGCAGACGUGGGCUUGUACAUGUCUUGCCUAUCACUUGGUAGUCAGCGUCAAUCUUGCUCAGUCAGCUGCAUGACUCACGUUGGGCUUACGUGGUUAGAAGACGUCGUGUAUCUCUUAUGCCCUAUGUCAAAUAUAUUCUGUUUGUUUUCCUCAAACUAUGAUAUAAUAGGGGUGGGCGAUAUGGCCUUAAACACGUAUCACGAUAAAUGGAGGAGAUUUACCUCGAUAACGAUAAAUGACGAUAAAGCCGCCCAAGCGGACUGUUGUAUAAUUUGAAAAUCUGAAUCAAUGCAUGAAAUACAGAUUAAGUUUCUUGUUGAUUUAGUUACCAGCAUUCAAUUUGAUAUAUUUAACAAUUGUACAUGCAGUCUAGACAUUAGGUUUAUAAAAAUGUAUUGUAAACAAUAAGAAUUCAAGUAUGAGCAUUUAUAACAGCGUGUAUGGCUUGAACAAUCUACAUAGUCAAAAUCAAUAUGCCUGUGCAAACAUGUCAUUGUAACACAAAUGACUUGCAGCUUGAACAGUACACUUCAAAAAGACAAUUUAUUGUUAAUGGCUGCUGUGACAUAAUUAUUCAAUACAAGUGUUUACUUUAUGGUUUCAGCCCCCCCCCCCCCAGUGCAUUUUUUAAUAAAUGCAGGCAUACAUGAACCUCCAAACAGACAGACAGACACACAGUAAAGCUAUAUUGAUCUUCUGCAAAUGAAACACUUAAGAUUUUAUGAUAGCAAUAAUGACACAGAAUUAAGCACAUACAGAAAAAUAGCUGGGGCCAUUUCUCAGUCAUAUUAUAAGUUUCACCGUUGGAUUGUGCUUAAUUCUGAAUGCUUUACCAUCACAAAAGCUAUCAGAGAAAUCACACACAGUCAGAUACAAAAUAACGCGACAUAGUAAUUGCUAGAUGCAGUCCGUGCCCAAUCCACUCAUUAAGUUCAGCCGUAUCGACAAGGUUAGAGCCGCUAUCCGACUCCAUCACGUUCAUUUGUAGCGUUAGCCGCUAGCGGCCGCUAGCGUUAGGCGCUAGCGUUAGCCGGUAGCGGCCGCUAGCGUUAGGCGCUAACGUUAGGCGCUAGCGUUAGCCUGUGGCCUGGCUACCAGUAGAAAGCAAUGAAAGCACCAUCUCCGGAAAUCGUGAGAACAAGGGAGUACAGCGGGUGAAAGCCCGUCUGGAUGCCACCAAGAGUCUAUUAAAUGUCGGGUGAAAGUUUGGCGAACCUCCCUUAAGCCACACUCCAUCACGUUUUGCUUGUAGCAUUAGCUGCUAGCGUUAGCUUACCGGGCUUCUGUUUGAUUGGCUUCCUGAUGAUCACGCGACUCCCUACGUGAGUACAUUCACUGCUUUCUUAAAGAGGAAUGAACAUAGGCGAACAACAGUCAAAGCGGGAUGAAAAGACUAUUUUCUUGUUUUAUUAAUUUACCGAAUUUACCGACAUGGUCAAAAUUACGUCGGUCAUCGUGAAGAAUUUCGGUGACGGUAAAUUUUCGGUUUACCGCCCAGCUCUAUGAUAUAAAUACUAUUUAUUUUGUAUUGAGUACGUUGGAGUCAAGCAGUAAAAACUAGAAAAGAUACUAUUCCCUGAUUGAUUAUAUUAAGUGUGUUAGAGUAAUACAAACAGUUGAACGGUAAAUACGAUAAAAGAUAAUAUUCCCUUCAGUUCACACAAUACAAUUUCAGUCAGUUCUCGUAUUUCUUUUUUGUGGAUGCACAUUUUUCCUUGCGGAUAUCUAGUCUUCUUUUUAGCAACAGCAUUGUCCAUUUUUUGCUCACCGUUUGCCCCACUCACGUAGCCAGAAAUGCGCCUGUUCCACAUUUUUUUAUGCAUUUAAACUUGUCGCCGAUCUAAAUUCCGAGCCUCUCUCGCGCCUCCUCGGAUGAGCGCUCUGUUCACGGAUAACUUGCGCAGUGGUGCCAUAAUCCCUGAAGGGGGGCAAAGCCACCCCGGGGAGCGAUAAUAACCUCGUCGACGGGACGCGGCGGUUCGGUGAUCGGUUGAGCGUGAAAGCAUCAGCGGGGCCUUACUGUACUGCCUCAGAUAACCUCGUUGCCGGGAGGGCGCAUCAGGCUGUUGACCAAGCUAAGCGUGUCAAGAAAUUUUAAGUGUUUCCUCAACUUACUCUAUUAGCUGCGUUAUUGGACGUCUGGUGCUGGCAGUGAAUGGUCAUGUUGAAAUGCCACUGACGGCAAUAGACGUCCAAUCCACCUACUAACAGCGUAAUCCAUUUCACAUUUUGAAUUGGUUGACGGUUUUGUUCCACCCCAUAUAUUUUUGUCCAGUUUCAUUACUUUUUUUCCACCACACAUUCAUUAUGGAUGCAAUUACACUGUAAAACCACAAGAUGGAGUGGAAUAUCACUGACACUUUGAAUCUGACUAUGAAGGAAGACUGAAAACGGAAUUUUCAGGUAAGCCUAGAUUUUGCUUAUUUUUGGCAUCAUAACCCAUUCUAUGGCGAGUUUUACGCCUCAUGACCAUCACGUGGGAUGAUUAUUGAAUUCUGUUUUGACAUCAUGACUUUGUUAGUGCACUUUAUUCAAUUACAUUUUACUCAAUUUUGUCAUUUAUACAUUAUAAUACAGUAUUUCACUCUAGGCUUAUGAGUAUACACACCGUCACGGACUCCAAUGUUAGUCGUAAACAUCGUUCAUGUUUAACCUUGCAAGCUAAUAAAUCUGACUGGGCUUUCCAUUUACUCCUCCUCUUCCUCUUGUGAUACGAUCCCCGUGCAAAUGAUGUCUCUGCUGAGGCGUCCGCAGCUCAAUAUCGCUCCGUCGCUUCGCAUGCUGCGCCGCUCGUCUUCAACGAGGCGCGCUAACGAGGACGGGAAAUGAUGCCCUCAUGCGCAGAUUACUGAUACGCACUGAAGGUGGACGCUGAUUUAUCGGAGAGCUGGCGGCUCAAAGCUACAAGGCAGUGCAAGUACUGUACUGUAUAUACAGUGGAGCCUUGAGAUGCAAGAUUCAAUCAUUCAUUAUCUUUCGUUCUUUUGUGUAUUUCUUUUCUGUUGGUCAUCAGAAAUAGAAUAGAAUAGAAUAGAAUGCCUUUAUUGCCAUUGUACAGAGCACAAUGAGAUUUCAAGCUUCGCCAGACUGUGCACUAACAUUUCAUUGAACGAUUGAAUUGACGCAAAUAUUUAUUUGUCUUCUGUAAUCCAACCAAAUAUAUUUGUGUUUUUUAAUGGGUAGGUGUGAAGGAGGGUUUUGCUUCCUACAUUGAUUUCAAUAUUUUGUCAGGCUUUGACCAGAUCUAAUGGAGAAUAACUGUUUAAGUGAUUAGCUCCAUCUAGUGUUAAAGAUGAGAAGUGCAAGAGAAUGUAGGCUGAAUUUAAGCUUGUUGUGCGGGCGAUAUAUUACCGUAUUAGCCCGAAUAUAAGACGGCCCUGAUUAUAAGACGACCCCCUCUUUUUCAAGACUCAAGUUUAAAAAAAGACUUUUUAAACACCAAAUUCAUUUUUAUACAGAAAAUAAUUACAGUACAUCUGAAACAAAUGAUUAUAACAAUAUAUUUGAGAGAAAAAGCAUGUUAUUUUGCCUCAUUCAAAUCUUAAUAUCUGAACAUUUAAAUAUGUAAACUAAAGUGCAAUCACAUUCGUAAAUGAAUGGCUUCUGGUUUUUGAAAUGUAAAUAAACCGAUAAAACAACAAAAUUGCAAUAACUGCAUUAACCAUCAAAGUGAAGUCUAACUGUAACUGUAGUCUUGAAACAAAUCUGAAUAAGGAAAAGCAUUGCAAUAAAAUAAUGCAAACUGGUUAAACCUGAGAGUAGCUGAGAUCUGUCAUGACAGAACAUCGCUUCAAUGAUAUCUGGCGACAUCUUGUGUCGUGAAUGGGUAUUACGUCUAGACUGCGACUAUAAGACGACCCCCACUUUUUCAGUCUUAUUUCAACGCAAAAAUCACCGUCUUAUAUUCGGGCCAAAACAGCAUAUAUGAUAUUUACAUAAUUUUUUGUCAGUCAGUAAGAACUGGGCAGCGGGCCGUAGUUGUCCUGCGGGCUGUUGCUUGGACACCCAUAGUGUAAAUGGUAUGUGUUGCGGCGGGUACAGUGGGAGGACGAAGUAUGGAAACCAUUUAGGAUUUUGGAUAUUUUUGCAUAAAUUGGUAAAUUAAAAUAAAAAUUUGGAAUUUUGGAAAUUCUUACAUUCUGCAUCAUAGACUCCACCAUUAGUUGACAAGACAACUCCCAUAGACUUUGCGCCACGCCCUCCCGUAGGGGACCAACCCAUAGAGCGUUGAGGAGGCUUUCACUAUUCACUGUGAUAAACUCAAACACAUGCUGCGUUCUAAUGCCGGAUUUAGGUGGAAAUAGGACGAAGGUGUUAUUGCAUACAAGCAGGCAGGAAUGUCUCAAGUGUGAUUUGGUCGAAGAUUCAAGGUAAUUAUUAUAUUAAAUAGCACCAUACAUGGACUUUAAAACGUUGUGAAUACGAUGAAAUUAAUGGAAAAAAUUAGCCUAACUUUAGCUUGAAAUAUUUACAUAAAAUGAAUGAUAACUGCCUGUUUUUUGCUUUUAACCAAGAAUCUAGACUGUUUUACGUUCAUAUCUAUAUAAAUUCCGCAGUUUAAGCAUUUAUUUGCAAGAAUUUUCAACUUUAAAAAAUUUUGUUUCAUGAUGGCCGCCAUGUUGGAUUAAACAAUACCGUAAUUUUGGCUUGAAAUAUUUACACAAAAUGAACGAUAACUGCCCGUUUUUUACUUUUAACCAAGAAUCUAGACUGUAUAACGUUCAUAUCUAUAUAGAUUCCGCGGUUUAAGCAUUUAUUUGCAAGAUUUUUCAACUUUAAAAAAAUUUUGUUUCGUGACGGCCGCCAUGUUGGAUUAAACACCAUAAUUUUGGCUUGAAAUAUUUAAACAAAAUGAACGAUAACUGCCCGUUUUUUGCUUUUAACCAAGAAUCUAGACUGUAUAACGUUCAUAUCUAUAUAAAUUCCGCAAUUUAAGCAUUUAUUUGCAAGAAUUUUCAACUUAAAAAAUUUUGUUUCAUGAUGGCCGCCAUGUUGGAUUAAACAAUACCGUAAUUUUGGCUUGAAAUAUUUACACAAAAUGAACGAUAACUGCCCGUUUUUUGCUUUUAACCAAGAAUCUAGACUGUAUAACGUUCAUAUCUAUAUAAAUUCCGCAAUUUAAGCAUUUAUUUGCAAGAAUUUUCAACUUAAAAAAUUUUGUUUCAUGAUGGCCGCCAUGUUGGAUUAAACAAUACCGUAAUUUUGGCUUGAAAUAUUUACACAAAAUGAACGAUAACUGCCCGUUUUUUACUUUUAACCAAGAAUCUAGACUGUAUAACGUUCAUAUCUAUAUAGAUUCCGCGGUUUAAGCAUUUAUUUGCAAGAUUUUUCAACUUUAAAAAAAUUUUGUUUCGUGACGGCCGCCAUGUUGGAUUAAACGCCAUAAUUUUGGCUUGAAAUAUUUAAACAAAAUGAACGAUAACUGCCCGUUUUUUGCUUUUAACCAAGAAUCUAGACUGUAUAACGUUCAUAUCUAUAUAAAUUCCGCAAUUUAAGCAUUUAUUUGCAAGAAUUUUCAACUUAAAAAAUUUUGUUUCAUGAUGGCCGCCAUGUUGGAUUAAACAAUACCGUAAUUUUGGCUUGAAAUAUUUACACAAAAUGAACGAUAACUGCCCGUUUUUUACUUUUAACCAAGAAUCUAGACUGUAUAACGUUCAUAUCUAUAUAGAUUCCGCGGUUUAAGCAUUUAUUUGCAAGAUUUUUCAACUUUAAAAAAAUUUUGUUUCGUGACGGCCGCCAUGUUGGAUUAAACACCGUAAUUUUGGCUUGAAAUAUUUAAACAAAAUGAACGAUAACUGCCCGUUUUUUUAUUUUAACCAAGAAUCUAGACCGUAUAACGUUCAUAUCUAUAUAAAUUCCGCAAUUUAAGCAUUUAUUUGCAAGAAUUUUCAACUUAAAAAACGUUUUGUUUCGUGACGGCCGCCAUGUUGGAUAAAACAAUAAGGUAAUUUUGGCUUGAAAUAUCUACGCAAAAUGAACGAUAACUGCCCGUUUUUUACUUUUAACCAAGAAUCUGGACUGUUUAAUGUUCAUAUCUAUAGAAAUUCCGCGAUCUAAGCAUUUAUUUGCAAUAAUUUUCUACUUAAAUAGCACUUUGCCCCCACGUUGAAUUUUGUAUCUCUACACAAUAGCGGAAUUCAACUUAAAUAAUUUCUUAUUAUAUAUAGAAAAAUUCCAAUUUUGCUUUUGUUGAGUAAAAUUACGGCAACUCUGCAUGCUUUCCUCAAGUAUUAAGUGUCUGAUGGAAAAAUUGAGUGAUUUAUUAGCUGUUGAAAACUUGUGCUAAUUUUAAAAAAAAUUAACUUGCUAUUUUGAGCAAAAACAUAUGAUUUGUUA